RNAcentral lists this ribosomal RNA (772 nucleotides) under Pilea benguetensis. Its description in RNAcentral is "eukaryotic LSU rRNA". The stretch from base 305 to 460 matches the Rfam family "5.8S ribosomal RNA". Lineage: Eukaryota; Viridiplantae; Streptophyta; Magnoliopsida; Rosales; Urticaceae. The record is from RNAcentral.
GSUCCGSGACAUUGUGAGAAGUCCACUGAACCUUAUCAUUUAGAGGAAGGAGAAGUCGUAACAAGGUUUCCGUAGGUGAACCUGCGGAAGGAUCAUUGUCGAAACCUGCAAAGCAGAACGACCCGCGAACGUGUUAUUACCUCACCUCGGCAGUGUGUUGUCGGCAGAGUCCCGACACAUUGCCGAGCAAAACUGAUCAUCGAGCGCGGUAUGCGCCAAGGAAAAUCGAAAAGAACGAAGCCGCCCGGUUGCGGCCCCGAAACGGUGGUCGCCUCGGGGAUGUGUUUGUUCCAUAAGUCAAAACGACUCUCGGCAACGGAUAUCUCGGCUCUCGCAUCGAUGAAGAACGUAGCGAAAUGCGAUACGUGGUGUGAAUUGCAGAAUUCCGUGAAUCAUCGAGUUUUUGAACGCAAGUUGCGCCCGAAGCCAUUCGGCCGAGGGCACGCCUGCCUGGGCGUCACGCAUCGUUGCCCACUCCGCAAGCCCAUUGCUCGUGCAACGGGGGAUGAGCUUGUCGGACGGGGGCGUACAUUGGCUUCCCGUUUGCGCGUCUUCCGGUUGGCCUAAAAAUGAAUUCGUCGGCCUGCGACCGCCGCGGCACACGGUGGUAUUCGAACAAAUCGUAACCCGCCGCGCGCGUUCGUCGGUCUGACGGACGACAUAGAACCCAAAUGCGUCGCCGUCUUCGUGCGGCGCUUCCAAUGCGACCCCAGGUCAGGCGAGAUUACCCGCUGAAUUUAAGCAUAUCAAUAAGCGGAGAAAAAAAAACUUU